This 255-nucleotide ribosomal RNA is filed under the name uncultured bacterium. RNAcentral's name for it is "partial 16S ribosomal RNA". It matches the Rfam family "Bacterial small subunit ribosomal RNA", at positions 524 to 776 of the family's 1533-position model. The record is from RNAcentral.
UACGUAGGGUGCGAGCGUUGUCCGGAAUUAUUGGGCGUAAAGAGCUCGUAGGCGGUGUGUCACGUCGGCCGUGAAAACCUGCAGCUUAACUGUGGGCGUGCGGUCGAUACGGGCAUCACUGGAGUUCGGCAGGGGAGACUGGAAUUCCUGGUGUAGCGGUGAAAUGCGCAGAUAUCAGGAGGAACACCGGUGGCGAAGGCGGGUCUCUGGGCCGAUACUGACGCUGGAGACGCGAAAGCGUGGGGAGCGAACAGG